This 258-nucleotide ribosomal RNA is filed under the name uncultured prokaryote. RNAcentral describes it as "partial 16S ribosomal RNA". It matches the Rfam family "Bacterial small subunit ribosomal RNA", at positions 524 to 780 of the family's 1533-position model. The record is from RNAcentral.
UACGGAGGAUGCAAGCGUUAUCCGGAUUCAUUGGGUUUAAAGGGUGCGUAGGCGGGCUAUUAAGUCAGUGGUGAAAUCCUGCAGCUUAACUGCAGAACUGCCGUUGAUACUGAUAGUCUUGAGUUUGGUUAAGGUAGGCGGAAUGUGUAAUGUAGCGGUGAAAUGCUUAGAUAUUACACAGAACACCAAUUGCGUAGGCAGCUUACUGAGCCGACACUGACGCUGAGGCACGAAAGCGCGGGGAGUCAAACAGGAUUA